AUCAAUUAACCUUCAUAAUUGAACUUUCAAAAAAUAAUAUGCAAAUUUAAAACAAAAAUAAAAGAAGAAAUUAAAAUUCCAAAAAUACUUUCCCUAUUGACUCACAGCCAACCCCAUCACCAGCGCAUCGUAACCAUCGCAGCCUCGUCGUUGUAACCAUCUUUUUCCGUUAUUAACCACCCCAUCUUCUCUCUACCUCAAACUUUCCGAUUCUCCGACCCUCCAACCCUCCACCAUCGCCGUUGCAUUGUCACAAUCACCGGAAAGGCGUUACACUCUCAGAUGGGGUGGUGAAAAACACAACCCUCUCCUAUACUGAAUGGAUCGAAAGCUCUAAAAUUGGCCUUUCCCAAUAUCUCCCACCGUAUUCACCCUUUUGCUCUUCCUUGGUCUUUAUUGUCGCCGCCCGCUUGUAGUGUGUGCCUCACCUCCGUUAGGAUGGGUUGGGCUUUGGAGAUGAUGUUUGUGAAACUUUCUUUUCGUUUUUCAUUUCAUCUAUUGUUUUUAUCAAAAUUACAUGAUAAGUAGGAGUGAGCGCGGGUCGGUUCGGUUCGGUUCUAAAGAGAAUCGAACCGAACCAAAAUUUUCGGGUAUCUAGUAAAUGGAACCGUCGGGUCCAAAUAUAAUUAUGGAACCGUUUGAGUUCGGUUCGGUUCGGUUCGGUUCUGUACUAUAAUUAAAUUUUUGAACAUUUAUAAUAAUAUUAUAUAAAUACAACUAAUGAUACAUUCAAUGGUUUUUGAAUGUUAGAGACUAGUACCUUGUUCAAAUGAUCGCUAUGGUCAAAGCUUCGGUUGACGGAGGUCACAGCGUCGGCCGACGACUGUAUAGAUUUUGGAAGGUUAGCGAGGCUGCGAGAGUGAGUGCGAGAGUGGAGACAACGUUAUGCAUUUUAGUGUAGGUGUUUAGAGUUAUUUAGUGGAUUUGAUCUUGUUGAGCUAAGAAAUGAAAUAAUAAAAUAGGUAAUUGGGCCAAAAAUUUGGAUUUAGAAAUUGUUAAUUUGUUUAAAAAGAAUUAAAAUUAAAAUAAUUUGAUUUACUCAAUAUAAAAAAAAAAUUAGAAAGAUUCGGUUCUUAUUCGGUUAUUCGAUUCUUGGUCUAAAAUCGAGAACCGAACCGUACCCGUCGGUUCUCAAUUUAGAUACCGGUUCGGGUAUUUAAUUUGACAAGAACCGUCGGGUUCAAUUCAGUUCGAUUCGAGUUCGGUUCAGGAGAUUUGCCCAACCCUAAUGAUAAGGAUUAAGUGUACUACAUUAUCCCCUUUAUACCCAUUUUUACCUCAUUUGUAGAAUUUUUUUUACCGUUAC
Molecule: long non-coding RNA, 1306 nt
Filed under: Olea europaea (common olive)
Lineage: Eukaryota; Viridiplantae; Streptophyta; Magnoliopsida; Lamiales; Oleaceae
Description: long non-coding RNA (OEUR_LNC014842)
Source: RNAcentral